CAAGCCAUGCGGCAGAAGCAUCAGCAGCAAAACUGCACUGUUGCAAGUUCAUAUCUGCUCUUUGCACAGUGUUGUACCUUGUUUUGUGAUGGGAAAGCUCACCGAACAGGAGAGUCCACUAUGCAAGGUCAAAAAUAUACAGCAAUCUCCCCAUCAAAAUAAUUGGGUUUACACGAACAGACGAUUUAAAGCAUUGUUGAACAAGCUGACACAGUCAGUCUCCAAAAUAUAGUCAAUUUUAGAAUAUUAGUUUCUUAAUUUUUAUACUGGUAUAAUUUUAAAUAUAUGUCCAACUAAAAUAUCAUAAUAACUAUCAACUUCACCAAUAGCACCAAACAAUUACUACUAAUUAAAGAUAUGACACAUGAAACAUUAAUUAUCAUCAGUUAUGCAACACUUUUCAGGCAUUGUGUAAAUACAUGUAUAUAUACAUACAAGGACAAUUAAAUAUUCUAAUACAGAUUUAUCUUAAGCAUGUAAAUUGAGAAAUGGAAAAUGUAACUGAUGAAAUAUUACAAAUAAAUUAUAAACUAAGUGGUAGCAAAAAUGGGAUAUAGUUGUAUAAUUUAAAAGAAAGUAAAGAUGUAAAAGUGUUAUAACAAACACAAACAUAUUUACAUAAGGACAUAUGACCAGGUGGGUCAUGUCCUACAUUAUAAAGUGAAACCAACAGAGUACUAAAUUUCAAAUGUCAAAAAUAGAUCUAUCAUAUUGUAACUUCUUAUGACAUAUUAGGCUCACUGCAUUUCAAGUAAUUCCUAAAUGUGUUGUAUUGUACAAUGCUUUGUUCCACAAUCUGAAUAUCAAAGUUCAUGGAAUGUCUCCAUUUAUCUCUAUGUGUCUACCCACAUAUCAACUGUCUGAUCACCAGCAAUCUAGCUAAUUACUUUUCUGAAGUCAAUAAAAAAGCCUUGUUUUCAGUG
This is a non-coding RNA of Zootermopsis nevadensis, 923 nucleotides long. The record is from RefSeq and is a predicted model, not a curated record. Lineage: Eukaryota; Metazoa; Arthropoda; Insecta; Blattodea; Termopsidae.